This 502-nucleotide ribosomal RNA is filed under the name uncultured fungus. RNAcentral describes it as "eukaryotic LSU rRNA". The stretch from base 152 to 305 matches the Rfam family "5.8S ribosomal RNA". Lineage: Eukaryota; Fungi. The record is from RNAcentral.
UGCAAAACUCCCUUAAACCAUCGCGAACGAACCUCUGAACAGUUGCUUCGGCAGGCGGGCACCCCCCCGGGGGAGCCGCCAAACGCCUGCCGGAGGUACCUAAACUAUUGUUUUUAACGGCCUCUCUGAUUAUUUGUACUUAAUAAGUCAAAACUUUCAACAACGGAUCUCUUGGUUCUGGCAUCGAUGAAGAACGCAGCGAAAUGCGAUAAGUAAUGUGAAUUGCAGAAUUCAGUGAAUCAUCGAAUCUUUGAACGCACAUUGCGCCCGCCAGUAUUCUGGCGGGCAUGCCUGUCCGAGCGUCAUUUCAACCAUCAAGCCCCGUGCUUGUGUUGGGGACCUGCGUCCGACCGCAGGCCCUGAAAACCAGUGGCGGGCUCGCUGUCCACACCGAGCGUAGUAACUAACCUCGCUCCGGAGUGGCGCGGGCGCCUGCCGUAAAACCCCCAAUUUAUCAAGGUUGACCUCGGAUCAAGGUAGGAAUACCCGCUGAACUUAAGCA